This 67-nucleotide transfer RNA is filed under the name Harpegnathos saltator (Jerdon's jumping ant). It matches the Rfam family "tRNA", at positions 5 to 66 of the family's 71-position model. From Rfam's summary of the family: Transfer RNA (tRNA) molecules are approximately 80 nucleotides in length. Their secondary structure includes four short double-helical elements and three loops (D, anti-codon, and T loops). Lineage: Eukaryota; Metazoa; Arthropoda; Insecta; Hymenoptera; Formicidae. The record is from Rfam by way of RNAcentral.
AAGUAGCUUAGUGGUCUAGAGCAGUCGCCCAGCAAGCGAAAGACCCGGGUUCGAUUCUCCCCGGUUU